GAUCGGUUUCGGUCCGCCGGACGCCAGCGACGGCGCCAGGGGAGGAAGCCGGUGAGACUCCGGCACGGUCCCGCCACUGUGAGCCAGGCAGCGAUGCCGGGUGAGUCAGGAACUCCCGCCGUCCUCCCACCGCC
RNAcentral lists this non-coding RNA (134 nucleotides) under Streptomyces varsoviensis. The record is from RNAcentral. Lineage: Bacteria; Bacillati; Actinomycetota; Actinomycetes; Kitasatosporales; Streptomycetaceae.